Molecule: ribosomal RNA, 484 nt
Filed under: uncultured bacterium
Lineage: Bacteria
Description: partial 16S ribosomal RNA
Rfam family: Bacterial small subunit ribosomal RNA
Source: RNAcentral
AUUGAACGCUAGCGGGAUGCUUUACACAUGCAAGUCGAACGGCAGCGCGGACUUCGGUCUGGCGGCGAGUGGCGAACGGGUGAGUAAUGUAUCGGAACGUGCCCAGUAGCGGGGGAUAACUACUCGAAAGCGUAGCUAAUACCGCAUACGCCCUACGGGGGAAAGCAGGGGAUCGUAAGACCUUGCACUAUUGGAGCGGCCGAUAUCGGAUUAGCUAGUUGGUGAGGUAACGGCUCACCAAGGCGACGAUCCGUAGCUGGUUUGAGAGGACGACCAGCCACACUGGGACUGAGACACGGCCCAGACUCCUACGGGAGGCAGCAGUGGGGAAUUUUGGACAAUGGGGGCAACCCUGAUCCAGCCAUCCCGCGUGUGCGAUGAAGGCCUUCGGGUUGUAAAGCACUUUUGGCAGGAAAGAAACGUCGCGGGCUAAUACCCCGUGGAACUGACGGUACCUGCAGAAUAAGCACCGGCUAACUACGUG